This 107-nucleotide small nucleolar RNA is filed under the name Leersia perrieri. RNAcentral's name for it is "Plant small nucleolar RNA R71". It matches the Rfam family "Plant small nucleolar RNA R71". Rfam says of the family: R71 is a member of the C/D box family of snoRNAs containing the C (UGAUGA) and D (CUGA) box motifs. Lineage: Eukaryota; Viridiplantae; Streptophyta; Magnoliopsida; Poales; Poaceae. The record is from Rfam by way of RNAcentral.
AUCCUAUGAUGAGGACAGGCGGCAACAUACUCCUUUAGACGUUACCAGGCUUCUGGUAUCGACUCAACCUUAGUCUGCUAGAAACUCGAAAUCCUUUCCCGAAGGUC